RNAcentral lists this long non-coding RNA (1723 nucleotides) under Homo sapiens (human). RNAcentral describes it as "HSALNT0351489". The record is from RNAcentral. Lineage: Eukaryota; Metazoa; Chordata; Mammalia; Primates; Hominidae.
UGUUUAGUAGAAAGACAAUCCUUUUUUCUUCCAGUCAAUUUUUUCUUUGAUCUACAGAACUUGCUUCUUUUCUCUGAAGUUUUCACAAUACAGCAUGAUAGAAGGAGCACAGAGUGCCAGAGGCAGGGAAUUCCUAUGCUUCACUAGUGACUCAUAAGAAAACUUAAUAGAAGGUCUCUACUGCCUGCUGGCCCUGCAGUACCUGAUUGAUGUGGUCCCAAACUAAAGUAGGCUAACCUUCAUUGAACCAAGCACUUCAGAGCCAUGGGAAGAAGUAUGGGGGAAGGAGUCCUUGUACUCUGGCAAUGAGGAAAACAAACAUUAACAGUGCAAGACACAGUGAGAGUCACAGAUCCAUGGAUGGACGAUCCUUUUGAGGACAAUAGAGGGGGAAUUUGGAUAAGUUUCCUGAGUGAGAAACCUUCCAGAUGGCAAUCUGAAAGUUAGCUGUUCCUUCUCAAAACACAGAGCUUUCUCAAGAGAAAGAUAACACCCUCUUUCAUCAGAGCGAGCGAGCUUUCUUCAUGGUGGCAAUUUCCAGUCUCCAGUGCAAGGAGGGGAAACUGAAGGAGAAUAAGGCGGUUACAUUCAGUUAGAGCCUGAGAGCAGAAUUUGGUUAGGCUGAAGCAGCUGGAAACUGUGGAAUGUAAUACCAGAGAGGAGACUGCCACACAAAGAACUCUAAAAAUUUUGAUUUUCAGCAAACCUUCAGAAGGCAAAAGGGAAAGUUUUCCCAUGGGCCAACGUGGAUAUGUUUCUGUAAUAGUCUGCUCAGCCUUCUACAACAAGAUGUCGCAGACUGGGUGACUUAAACCAGGGAUCCUCAAACCCUGGCAAUGGAUCGGUACGGGUCAGUGGCCUGUUAGGAAUCAGGCCACGUAGCAGGAGUCCAUAUUUGGAAUAACAACAAUAUAACACUCCUUUGGUAGUUAUAUUUUCUCACCUUCUUUACAGAAGAAGAAAUCCUUACUUAGAAAGGAAAAGAAUACCUCGAAAUUUGUCACUUUGGACUUCAAACAGAGCAGCUGAAGAGCAGCAAAGGCAGGGAAAGGGCUUUCUCUGAUCUACCCUUAACCGACUAAGACACUGUAUUAGGAUCUGGUGACAUAGUGGGAUAGAAGGACAAAGCCACGCUCUUAUGAAGCUUACAUUCUAGGAUAAUUCUUUGCCAUAAACAUAAACCAAACACUUCCACUAGAAAUGCUGACCAAUGCCUGGAUUCUCUGGAAGAAAACUGAUUUUCCUUUCAAAAAAUGUCAAAAGGAAAACUUUCAGGCUGUCACUUAUGGCCUGUAUUUCUAGAACCUGGCCCAAUUUGGCUACUGCAAGGCUUUGUGAACACAGCCAUCCAGAGGAUGCUGUUUAGAGGGAAGGAGCUCAUUCUAGGGGAAACCAGCUGCCAUAUUAAGAAAACAGUCCUAUGGAAAGGGCCAUGGAACAAAGAAGUGACUUCUGCCAACAACCUCAUGAGUGAACCUAGAAGUGGCUCAUCUAGUCCUGGUCAAAUCUUAUGGACUGUGGCUCCAACUGAUAGUGUGACUGUAACUUCAUAAGAGACGCUGAACCAGACCACCCAAUAAGACACUCCCAGAUUCCCUACUCUCAAAAGUUGUGUGAAAUAAUCACCCCCAGUUGUAUUAAACUGCUAAGUUUUGGGGUAGUGUGUUACACAGCAAUAAAUCAUAAAUACAACAUCCAAGCAAUAAAUUUCUAUGAUAAAUAC